Molecule: ribosomal RNA, 415 nt
Filed under: uncultured bacterium
Lineage: Bacteria
Description: bacterial SSU rRNA
Rfam family: Bacterial small subunit ribosomal RNA
Source: RNAcentral
UGGGGAAUAUUGCACAAUGGGGGAAACCCUGAUGCAGCGACGCCGCGUGAAGGAAGAAGGCCUUCGGGUUGUAAACUUCUGUCUUCAGGGACGAUAAUGACGGUACCUGAGGAGGAAGCUCCGGCUAACUACGUGCCAGCAGCCGCGGUAAUACGUAGGGAGCGAGCGUUGUCCGGAAUUACUGGGUGUAAAGGGAGCGUAGGCGGGAUUGCAAGUUGAAUGUGAAAUCUAUGGGCUUAACCCAUAAACUGCGUUCAAAACUGCAGUUCUUGAGUGAAGUAGAGGCAGGCGGAAUUCCUAGUGUAGCGGUGAAAUGCGUAGAUAUUAGGAGGAACACCAGUGGCGAAGGCGGCCUGCUGGGCUUUAACUGACGCUGAGGCUCGAAAGCGUGGGUAGCAAACAGGAUUAGAUACCC